RNAcentral lists this unclassified non-coding RNA (940 nucleotides) under Hevea brasiliensis (rubber tree). Lineage: Eukaryota; Viridiplantae; Streptophyta; Magnoliopsida; Malpighiales; Euphorbiaceae. The record is from RNAcentral.
UAGAAGAAUUGUGGCCUUAUAUACCUGCAAGAAAAAAAAAGGUAAGCAUUAAACAAAUCAAAUCCAUCAAGGAGGUUUUUACUAUACUAUAUGGCACAAUUUAUAGAUAAAAUCCCUGGCAUAAACGGUUUGUUCACCAUUGUGACACCAACACAGCUUAUCAAAAUCAAGAAUAGCAUACAAAAGCUCCCAGCACUUUGAACCAGUAUAACAGUUUUCUGCCUCUAAACCUUCUUUUUCAAUGGGUUGAAACUUGAAAUGCAAAAGAACUAGGCUGGUGAUAAAGAAUGAGAAACAGGAAUGGGACUGACACCUUUGUUCACAGUUCUUAAGUGUCUAACAACCCAGAAUGGAAAAAUUGGGAACAAAACACAAUAAAAGUUGCUUAUUUGGUUUUCCUAUCUACAGAGGCCGGUGUUAAUAACCAAGAAUAUGAAUGUGAGGCAAUUCCCAUUACCAUUCUUUGUAACAAAAGAGGCGUAAAUUGUUGGCGAUUGUGCAUCAUUUCUCUGUUUUUCUCAUUUUCUUUUCCCAGUUCAUGCACCAUCAAGGCAAAGGUGUUUGGGAGGACAUUAGUUAUUGCUUUUCUUGUUGAUCUAUAUUUUGCAAAGGAUAAUAUUCGCUGACAAUUUCAAAUCCCUACCAAGUACUGUAUCAUUUAAGAAAUGUUGAUCUCCAAAAAGGUAAAAAAAUAAAAAAAUAAAAAGGACGUGUAAACUGGUGAAAUAAUAAUAUGACAUGACACUCAUCUGCUAUGUACCAAGGGUUCAGUGCACCAGAGAGGAGCCAAACCCAUUCUGGAUUUACCUGAAAAACAAUUUAAACUUAGCACUUGGCAUAACCAACUAGAUGCAGCAGAACAAUAAAAAGCAUAAAAUAAAACUAUUUCACAGGAUAAAGUAAAAGCAUCAAACUUUAGAAAAAUUUUGCGAAACCAAAC